GCCCUCGUAGCCCAACGGCAGAGGCACGGCGUCGAGGUCGCCGACGGUGCGCGUUCGAAUCGCGCCGAGGGCA
Molecule: transfer RNA, 73 nt
Filed under: Hamadaea sp.
Lineage: Bacteria; Bacillati; Actinomycetota; Actinomycetes; Micromonosporales; Micromonosporaceae
Description: tRNA-Leu
Source: RNAcentral